AUUGAACGCUGGCGGAAUGCUUUACACAUGCAAGUCGAACGGCAGCACGGACUUCGGUCUGGUGGCGAGUGGCGAACGGGUGAGUAAUGUAUCGGAACGUGCCCAGUCGUGGGGGAUAACGUAGUGAAAACUACGCUAAUACCGCAUACGAUCUAUGGAUGAAAGCGGGGGAUCGCAAGACCUCGCGCGAUUGGAGCGGCCGAUAUCAGAUUAGGUAGUUGGUGGGGUAAAGGCCCACCAAGCCAACGAUCUGUAGCUGGUCUGAGAGGACGACCAGCCACACUGGAACUGAGACACGGUCCAGACUCCUACGGGAGGCAGCAGUGGGGAAUUUUGGACAAUGGGCGAAAGCCUGAUUCAGCCAUUCCGCGUGCAGGAUGAAGGCCCUCGGGUUGUAAACUGCUUUUGUACAGAACGAAAAGGUUUCUACUAAUACUAGGAGCUCAUGACGGUACUGUAAGAAUAAGCACCGUCUAACUACGUGCCAGCAGCCGCCGUAA
Molecule: ribosomal RNA, 500 nt
Filed under: uncultured bacterium
Lineage: Bacteria
Description: partial 16S ribosomal RNA
Rfam family: Bacterial small subunit ribosomal RNA
Source: RNAcentral